GGAGAGGUGGCUCAGCAGUUAAGAGCACUGACUGUUCUUCCAGAGGUCUUGAGUUCAAAUCCCAGCAUCUACA
This 73-nucleotide transfer RNA is filed under the name Rattus norvegicus (Norway rat). It matches the Rfam family "tRNA". Rfam says of the family: Transfer RNA (tRNA) molecules are approximately 80 nucleotides in length. Their secondary structure includes four short double-helical elements and three loops (D, anti-codon, and T loops). Lineage: Eukaryota; Metazoa; Chordata; Mammalia; Rodentia; Muridae. The record is from Rfam by way of RNAcentral.